RNAcentral lists this ribosomal RNA (466 nucleotides) under uncultured bacterium. RNAcentral describes it as "partial 16S ribosomal RNA". It matches the Rfam family "Bacterial small subunit ribosomal RNA", at positions 29 to 507 of the family's 1533-position model. The record is from RNAcentral.
ACGCACGCUGGCGGCGUGCUUAACCCAUGCAAGUCGAACGGAAAGGCUCCAGCUUGCUGGAGUACUCGAGUGGCGAACGGGUGAGUAACACGUGGGUAAUCUGCCCUGCACUCUGGGAUAAGCCUGGGAAACUGGGUCUAAUACUGGAUAUGACCUUUCUCCUUAUGGGGUUUGGUGGAAAGUUUUUCGGUGUAGGAUGAGCCCGCGGCCUAUCAGCUUGUUGGUGGGGUGAUGGCCUACCAAGGCGACGACGGGUAGCCGGCCUGAGAGGGUGAUCGGCCACAUUGGGACUGAGAUACGGCCCAGACUCCUACGGGAGGCAGCAGUGGGGAAUAUUGCACAAUGGGCGGAAGCCUGAUGCAGCGACGCCGCGUGAGGGAUGACGGCCUUCGGGUUGUAAACCUCUUUCAGCAGGGACGAAGCGUAAGUGACGGUACCUGCAGAAGAAGCACCGGCUAACUAUGUG